AUUGAACGCUGGCGGCAUGCCUUACACAUGCAAGUCGAACGGCAGCGCGGGGCAACCUGGCGGCGAGUGGCGAACGGGUGAGUAAUAUAUCGGAACAUACCCUAGAGUGGGGAUAACGUAGCGAAAGUUACGCUAAUACCGCAUACGCACUAAGGUGGAAAGUGGGGGAUCUUCGGACCUCAUGCUCAUGGAGUGGCCGAUAUCUGAUUAGCUAGUUGGUGAGGUAAAGGCUCACCAAGGCGACGAUCAGUAGCUGGUUUGAGAGAACGACCAGCCACACUGGAACUGAGACACGGUCCAGACUCCUACGGGAGGCAGCAGUGGGGAAUUUUGGACAAUGGGGGGCAACCCUGAUCCAGCAAUGCCGCGUGAGUGAAGAAGGCCUCGGUUGUAAGACUCUUUGUCUAGGGAAGAAACGGUAGAGUCUAAUAAGACUUGCUAAUGACGGUACC
This 452-nucleotide ribosomal RNA is filed under the name uncultured bacterium. Its description in RNAcentral is "bacterial SSU rRNA". It matches the Rfam family "Bacterial small subunit ribosomal RNA", at positions 30 to 479 of the family's 1533-position model. The record is from RNAcentral.